Molecule: transfer RNA, 73 nt
Filed under: Ixodes scapularis (black-legged tick)
Lineage: Eukaryota; Metazoa; Arthropoda; Arachnida; Ixodida; Ixodidae
Description: tRNA-Cys for anticodon GCA
Rfam family: tRNA
About the family: Transfer RNA (tRNA) molecules are approximately 80 nucleotides in length. Their secondary structure includes four short double-helical elements and three loops (D, anti-codon, and T loops).
Source: Rfam by way of RNAcentral
UACUAGUUAGCUCAGUUCGUAGAGUGCUCCACUGCAAAUGGAGAGGUGCUUGGUUUGAGACCAGGACAAGGUG